UACAGAGGGGGCAAGCGUUGUCCGGAAUUACUGGGCGUACAGCGCGCGCAGGCGGUCUUGGACGUGCCGUGUGACAUCCGUCGGCUCAACCGACGGAGGCCAGGGUACACGACAAGACUGGAGACAGAGAGAGGGAUGUGGAAUACCCGGUGGAGCGGUGAAAUGCGUAGAGAUCGGGUGGAACACCAGGGCGAAGGCGGCAUCCUGGCUCUGUUCUGACGCUGGAGGCGCGAGAGCGUGGGGAGCAAACCGG
Molecule: ribosomal RNA, 253 nt
Filed under: uncultured bacterium
Lineage: Bacteria
Description: partial 16S ribosomal RNA
Rfam family: Bacterial small subunit ribosomal RNA
Source: RNAcentral